CGCACAUUGCGCCCCCUGGUAUUCCGGCGGGCAUGCCUGUUCGAGCGUCAUUUCAACCCUCAAGCUAUGCUUGGUAUUGGGAGCUGGCCCCCCGGGGCCUUCCCGAAAGUUAGCGGCGAUGCGGCCGGAUUCCCAGCGCAGUGACAUCUAAUUCUCGCUGAUUGGAUCCCCGGGCGACGUCCGCCGGACAACAACCCCAUUUUUUUUCAAGAUUGACCUCGGAUCAGGUAGGGAUACCCGCUGAACUUAA
Molecule: unclassified non-coding RNA, 250 nt
Filed under: Guignardia sp.
Lineage: Eukaryota; Fungi; Ascomycota; Dothideomycetes; Botryosphaeriales; Phyllostictaceae
Description: partial contains 5.8S ribosomal RNA, internal transcribed spacer 2, and large subunit ribosomal RNA
Source: RNAcentral